Molecule: unclassified non-coding RNA, 226 nt
Filed under: Hevea brasiliensis (rubber tree)
Lineage: Eukaryota; Viridiplantae; Streptophyta; Magnoliopsida; Malpighiales; Euphorbiaceae
Source: RNAcentral
GUCAGAAUCCCCCCUAAACGUAGCGAUACCGCAGCGCCGAGGCGCCUCGGUGGGCUCGCGAUAGCCGGCCGCCGCCCCCCUCGGGCGGGCGGUCGGUGCGGAGCGCCGCUCGUGGUCGGGACCGGAGCGCGGACAGAUGUGGCGCCGCCUCUCCCCCGCCGCGUACCGCAUGUUCGUGGGGAACCCGGUGCUAAAUCAUUCGUAGACGACCUGAUUCUGGGUCGGG